RNAcentral lists this ribosomal RNA (437 nucleotides) under uncultured Oscillospiraceae bacterium. Its description in RNAcentral is "partial 16S ribosomal RNA". It matches the Rfam family "Bacterial small subunit ribosomal RNA", at positions 341 to 792 of the family's 1533-position model. The record is from RNAcentral. Lineage: Bacteria; Bacillati; Bacillota; Clostridia; Eubacteriales; Oscillospiraceae.
ACGGAAGGCAGCAGUGGGGAAUAUUGGGCAAUGGGCGAAAGCCUGACCCAGCCACGCCGCGUGAAGGAAGAAGGUCUUCGGAUUGUAAACUUCUUUUAUGCGGGACGCAGGACGUGACGGUACCUCAUGAAUAAGCCACGGCUAACUACGUGCCAGCAGCCGCGGUAAUACGUCGGUGGCGAGCGUUAUCCGGAUUUACUGGGUGUAAAGGGCGCGUAGGCGGGGUUGCAAGUCAGAUGUGAAAUCUAUGGGCUUAACUCAUAAACUGCAUUUGAAACUGUAACGCUUGAGUGCGGGAGAGGUAGGUGGAAUUCCUUGUGUAGCGGUGAAAUGCGUAGAUAUAAGGAAGAACACCAGUGGCGAAGGCGAUCUACUGGACAGUAACUGACGCUGAGGCGCGAAAGCGUGGGGAGCAAACAGGAUUAGAUACCCUGGUA